Molecule: non-coding RNA, 73 nt
Organism: Dictyocaulus viviparus (bovine lungworm)
Lineage: Eukaryota; Metazoa; Nematoda; Chromadorea; Rhabditida; Metastrongylidae
Source: Rfam
GUCACGGUAGUGCAAUGUAUAAGCACGGCAGAAUGUAUAUCUGUAGGUGCGGGCUCGACUCCCACCUGAGGUU